GAUGAACGCUGACAGAAUGCUUAACACAUGCAAGUCCACUUGAACUUCGGUUUGGGUGGCGGACGGGUGAGUAACGCGUAAAGAACUUGCCUCACAGAUAGGGACAACAUUUGGAAACGAAUGCUAAUACCUGAUAUUAUGAUUAUAUGGCAUCGUAUAAUUAUGAAAGCUAUAUGCGCUGUGAGAGAGCUUUGCGUCCCAUUAGCUAGUUGGAGAGGUAACGGCUCACCAAGGCGAUGAUGGGUAGCCGGCCUGAGAGGGUGAUCGGCCACAAGGGGACUGACACACGGCCCUUACUCCUACGGGAGGCAGCAGUGGGGAAUAUUGGACAAUGGACCAAGAGUCUGAUCCAGCAAUUCUGUGUGCACGAUGAAGUUUUUCGGAAUGUAAAGUGCUUUCAGUUGGGAAGAAAAAAAUGACGGUACCAACAGAAGAAGUGACGGCUAAAUACGUG
This 454-nucleotide ribosomal RNA is filed under the name uncultured bacterium. Its description in RNAcentral is "partial 16S ribosomal RNA". It matches the Rfam family "Bacterial small subunit ribosomal RNA", at positions 28 to 507 of the family's 1533-position model. The record is from RNAcentral.